AGGUGGGGGUGCUGUAUGUACCUGGGAAGUCCCAGGAGCUCAGGGGACUUGGGCAGAGCAUUUACAGGUGACCUGGGCAGGUGGGAGGGCUUGGGGAGCCUGAGUUGCCCCAGGAGCUCAGGGGACCUGGGCAGAGCAGUUACACAUGAGCUGGGGCAGGUGGGGGUGCUGGAGGUGCCCAGGAAGCACCAAGAGUUCUGUGGACCUGGACAGAGCACUAACAGUGGGAGGUGCUGGAGGUGCCAGCGAAGCCUGAGGAACUCAGGAGACCUGGGCACAGCACUUACAGCUUCGACCACGGCCCCAUCAGUCUUCCCCCUGGCCCCCACCUCUAGGGACACAUCUGGCUCCUCAGUGAACCUGGGCUGCCUGGUCAAGGGCUACUUCCCUGAGCCGGUGACCGUGACAUGGAACUCAGGAUCCCUGUCCAGUGGAGUCCGCACCUUCCCAGCUGUCCUGCAGUCAGGGCUCUACUCUGUCACCAGCAUGGUGACUGUGCCCACCAGCACCUGGCCCAGCCAGACCGUCACCUGCAAUGUAGCCCACCCGGCCAGCAGCACCAAGGUGGACAAGAUCAUUGCUCCCUGUGGUCCUGACCCUACCCCAUGUCCACCAUGUCCACCUCCUGAAAUCCUGGGGGGACCAUCCGUCUUCAUCUUCCCCCCAAAGCCCAAGGACACGCUCAUGAUCUCCCUGACCCCCAAGGUCACAUGCGUGGUGGUAGAUGUGAGCCAGGAUGACCCCGAGGUCCAGUUCAGCUGGUAUGUAGACAACGUGGAGGUGAGCACAGCUGAGACAAAGCCACAGGAGAGGCAACUCAACAGCACAUUCCGCGUGGUCAGUGUCCUCCCCAUCAAGCACCAGGACUGGCUGAAUGGCAAGAAGUUCAAGUGCAAGGUCAACAACAAAGCCCUGCCAGCCCCCAUCGAGAGGACCAUCUCCAAAGUCGCAGGGCAACCCCGGGCGCCAGAGGUGUACGUCUUGCCCCCGGCCCAGGAGGAGCUGACCAAGAACACCGUCAGUCUGACCUGCUACAUCCAAGGCUUCUACCCUGCCGACAUCUCUGUGGAGUGGGAGAAGCAGGGGCAGCCGGAGCAGGACUACAAGACCACCGAGCCCGUCCUGGACUCCGACGGGACCUACUUCCUCUACAGCAAGCUCAGGGUGGACAGGAACAGAUGGCAGCGAGGAGACCUCUACACAUGCUCAGUGAUGCACGAGGCUCUGCACAACCACUUCACCCAGAAGACCCUGUCCCCGUCCCCGGGUAAAUGAGCCUGGCGAGUCCUCACCCCACGAGGACACUGUCACCUUCCCUCACCUGCCCGUGUGAAUAAAGCACCCAGCCUGCCCUGGGACCCUGUGAGACUA
Marmota flaviventris (yellow-bellied marmot) is the source of this 1371-nucleotide non-coding RNA. The record is from the annotation of a RefSeq genome assembly. NCBI's taxonomy places the organism in Eukaryota, Metazoa, Chordata, Mammalia, Rodentia, Sciuridae.